RNAcentral lists this transfer RNA (85 nucleotides) under Mesorhizobium loti. RNAcentral describes it as "tRNA-Leu". It matches the Rfam family "tRNA". Rfam says of the family: Transfer RNA (tRNA) molecules are approximately 80 nucleotides in length. Their secondary structure includes four short double-helical elements and three loops (D, anti-codon, and T loops). The record is from RNAcentral. Lineage: Bacteria; Pseudomonadati; Pseudomonadota; Alphaproteobacteria; Hyphomicrobiales; Phyllobacteriaceae. RNAcentral also lists the same sequence under 1 other name.
GCGGAUUUGGCGGAACUGGUAGAUGCCCUGGAUUUAGGUUCCGGUGCCGAAAGACGUGGGGGUUCGAGUCCCCUCAUCUGCAUCA